This 320-nucleotide unclassified non-coding RNA is filed under the name plant metagenome. RNAcentral describes it as "partial contains 5.8S ribosomal RNA, internal transcribed spacer 2, and large subunit ribosomal RNA". The stretch from base 1 to 105 matches the Rfam family "5.8S ribosomal RNA", at positions 50 to 154 of the family's 154-position model. The record is from RNAcentral.
GAAAUGCGAUAAGUAAUGUGAAUUGCAGAAUUCAGUGAAUCAUCGAAUCUUUGAACGCACAUUGCGCCCGCCAGUAUUCUGGCGGGCAUGCCUGUUCGAGCAUCAUUACAACCCUCAGGCCCCCGGGCCUGGCGUUGGGGAUCGGCGGAAGCCCCCUGCGGGCACAACGCCGUCCCCCAAAUACAGUGGCGGUCCCGCCGCAGCUUCCAUUGCGUAGUAGCUAACACCUCGCAACUGGAGAGCGGCGCGGCCACGCCGUAAAACACCCAACUUCUGAAUGUUGACCUCGCAGCAGGUAGGAAUACCCGCUGAACUUAAGC